Molecule: ribosomal RNA, 425 nt
Filed under: uncultured Clostridium sp.
Lineage: Bacteria; Bacillati; Bacillota; Clostridia; Eubacteriales; Clostridiaceae
Description: bacterial SSU rRNA
Rfam family: Bacterial small subunit ribosomal RNA
Source: RNAcentral
UGGGGAAUAUUGGGCAAUGGGCGCAAGCCUGACCCAGCAACGCCGCGUGAAGGAUGAAGGUUUUCGGAUUGUAAACUUCUGUCCUCAGGGACGAACGCAAUGACGGUACCUGAGGAGGAAGCCCCGGCUAACUACGUGCCAGCAGCCGCGGUAAUACGUAGGGGGCGAGCGUUGUCCGGAAUUACUGGGCGUAAAGGGAGCGUAGGCGGUUUAUUAAGUCAGAUGUGAAAUACCCGGGCUUAACCUGGGGGGUGCAUCUGAUACUGGUGAACUUGAGUGCGGGAGAGGAAAGUGGAAUUCCUAGUGUAGCGGUGAAAUGCGUAGAUAUUAGGAGGAACACCAGUGGCGAAGGCGACUUUCUGGACCGUAACUGACGCUGAGGCUCGAAAGCGUGGGGAGCAAACAGGAUUAGAUACCCUGGUAGU